RNAcentral lists this long non-coding RNA (1512 nucleotides) under Macaca fascicularis (crab-eating macaque). Its description in RNAcentral is "lncRNA (ENSMFAG00000051792.1)". The record is from RNAcentral. Lineage: Eukaryota; Metazoa; Chordata; Mammalia; Primates; Cercopithecidae.
UUUUUUUUUUUUUUCUAUUUUAAUGGUACAACAGAGGAGAAAGAUCAGAAAAUAAUCAUGAUUACACUGAGCUAUUUGCUGAACAAAAGAAGAUAACUGCAUUGUCUACUUCUGAUUAGGAUGUAGAAAACUAUGAGACACUUGCUUUCAACUUAACACUAAGACCAAGACAGAUAUGCAAAAAAAAAAAAAUCAUAGCUACUUGAAACUAAUAGAGAGCUGAAGAUCAAACAAACAAACAAACAAACAAAAAGUUCUGAAGAGCAUUCAGAGAGUAAUUAUUCUUUCUUGAGACAGAGCAGACAUAUAACUCUUUUCAGCCCUGUAGGAAUGAUGGAAGGAAGUGGCAUCUGUAAUAGUUGAGUCUCUGGAAAAUAUGUAUUGCCUAAGACUGUUGAGUAACUCUCUUUAGGUUGUCAAAUCAUCUAUGGUAUAAUCAUGAACUCUUCAACAAACACAUCCUAAAGAGAAUCCAACUACAGGAAUAAGUUCAAGAGAAAAGUAAGACAUUACAUAUUAGGAAACUAGCAAAAUAAGAGUAGAUAUGAAUAAGAAGAAAUCAGCCAGACAAUUUAUGUUUGGGCUGGCUUGAUGAAAAAAUCCCAAGUAACCCUAGUCACAGAGCAAUUCUGCAGUUACCUGCUAGUGUUUUCCACGGACCAUCGCUGAGUGAAUGGAGAUGGCAGCUGGUCUGCCAAAACAGAAAACAGGGCAGGAGAGCAGGAAAACAUGACCUUUGAGGUAUAUAGCAUCUUGCUUCUGUACAAAGUCAUGGAACACUGCCUGAGGACAGGCCAAAAGAUCUAAGAAAUAUUUCUUACAGUCAAUUCAUGUUUUUGUUGGGAGGCUGAGAGACAACGAUCUUUGAGUUUCCUGUGUGUCUUUGCAGCAGACACAUUGAUGGUUUUUUGUUAUUUUUUCAAGACUGCUUCGUAACAUAAAACUAUGAAAGGUAGAGAUAACUGUCUACCUCUAAACAAGAGGGUUAAUACUAUGCUACUCAGUGUAAUAAAUUCUCUUUUUUUUUUUGGAGCAAAGUCAUAUAGGUUUUGUUGAGUUCCAUUAUAAAGAUUUGGGUUUCCUAAACUCAGUGUUCCUCAGUUGUAAUGCAUACUCACUGUUUCUGUAGCAUCUAGCAAAGUUCACCUCUACCUCAUUGCCAUGGGACUUGAUGGGGAGGAGAUACUGUAAGCAUAAAGCUUAUGUUACUUGCUGUCUUGUGAGUAAUAGUCUUUUGUCUCUGACGUAGAAAUAUCCUGAUGUCUUCCAGCAUCCAUAAUAUUAUGGCAGGCUAAUUUGCUAGCUUGCAAAAAGAGAAAAUUAUUAGAUCUUUCACAGUCCUUGGUAAUUUUCACCAAGUUCAAGGCUUUAGCUAAAGGCUGGAUGUUAAAAAACAAAAACAGAGAUGAAAAGAGAUCUCACAAUGUGCAGAAAGACCAAGUCAGAACUGGAAGGCAAAACAAACUUCCCAAUAACCCCAAAAUAUGGCAAGUAAACUGAAAUCCACAAAGA